CAAGAGAGGAAGGAAUUGAACCCCCUUAUAAUAAUUUCAAGUUAAUUACAUAACUAAUCUGUCACCCUCUU
RNAcentral lists this transfer RNA (71 nucleotides) under Desmognathus wrighti (pygmy salamander). Its description in RNAcentral is "tRNA-Ser". Lineage: Eukaryota; Metazoa; Chordata; Amphibia; Caudata; Plethodontidae. The record is from RNAcentral.